Molecule: ribosomal RNA, 829 nt
Filed under: uncultured bacterium
Lineage: Bacteria
Description: bacterial SSU rRNA
Rfam family: Bacterial small subunit ribosomal RNA
Source: RNAcentral
GAGGGUUUGAUCCUGGCUCAGAUUGAACGCUGGCGGCAGGCCUAACACAUGCAAGUCGAGCGGAUGAAGGGAGCUUGCUCCUGGAUUCAGCGGCGGACGGGUGAGUAAUGCCUAGGAAUCUGCCUGGUAGUGGGGGAUAACGUCCGGAAACGGGCGCUAAUACCGCAUACGUCCUGAGGGAGAAAGUGGGGGAUCUUCGGACCUCACGCUAUCAGAUGAGCCUAGGUCGGAUUAGCUAGUUGGUGGGGUAAAGGCCUACCAAGGCGACGAUCCGUAACUGGUCUGAGAGGAUGAUCAGUCACACUGGAACUGAGACACGGUCCAGACUCCUACGGGAGGCAGCAGUGGGGAAUAUUGGACAAUGGGCGAAAGCCUGAUCCAGCCAUGCCGCGUGUGUGAAGAAGGUCUUCGGAUUGUAAAGCACUUUAAGUUGGGAGGAAGGGCAGUAAGUUAAUACCUUGCUGUUUUGACGUUACCAACAGAAUAAGCACCGGCUAACUUCGUGCCAGCAGCCGCGGUAAUACGAAGGGUGCAAGCGUUAAUCGGAAUUACUGGGCGUAAAGCGCGCGUAGGUGGUUCAGCAAGUUGGAUGUGAAAUCCCCGGGCUCAACCUGGGAACUGCAUCCAAAACUACUGAGCUAGAGUACGGUAGAGGGUGGUGGAAUUUCCUGUGUAGCGGUGAAAUGCGUAGAUAUAGGAAGGAACACCAGUGGCGAAGGCGACCACCUGGACUGAUACUGACACUGAGGUGCGAAAGCGUGGGGAGCAAACAGGAUUAGAUACCCUGGUAGUCCACGCCGUAAACGAUGUCGACUAGCCGUUGGGAUCC